Molecule: non-coding RNA, 169 nt
Organism: Desulfosporosinus sp.
Lineage: Bacteria; Bacillati; Bacillota; Clostridia; Eubacteriales; Desulfitobacteriaceae
Source: Rfam
UCCAAAUCAUUGGGUGAAAUCCCCGAAUGCGUAGAAGAUUGGCUACGUAGAAAGGCUAAGACUCCGACAUGCCCGAUAAAAGUGAAAGUGAUUCGUGGUAUGAAGCUCGGUGAAGACGGCGAAACGCCAACCUGUAAAUGGUUGACAAAUGUAGUCGGGCCGCCAUAAA